This 358-nucleotide long non-coding RNA is filed under the name Ananas comosus (pineapple). RNAcentral's name for it is "long non-coding RNA (ACOM_LNC028928)". The record is from RNAcentral. Lineage: Eukaryota; Viridiplantae; Streptophyta; Magnoliopsida; Poales; Bromeliaceae.
UAGAUAUAUAUAUAUAGAGUGGGCUGGUAUGCUUUCGUAAGCACGGAGGCCUCCGUGCUUCCACUUUGUUUUCGAUGUUCGGACUUUCGAAUCGACGAUCGGCUCCGUUAGAGUUGAUCUAGAGUAUUUAAAGUACCAAGAAAUUAAAUUUUGCGAUUUUUCGAUAUAGGCCAUGGCUACUAUAAUAUUAUGAGUAUUGGAGCCCGCGUACUCAUAAGUUGUUUUCAAUGAUGGAGCAUCCGAAUCGACGAUCCAUUCUGUUAAAUAUGAUCUAGAGUAUUUGAAACUUCUAGAAAAUAAAUUUUGUAGAUUUUCGAAAUCAUAAUAAAAUCCAUCAAGUGGGCAUAAAAUGAACGGU